CCGUAGCGUUGUAUUAGCUAGUAGGUGAGGUAAUGGCUCACCUAGGCGACGAUACAUAGCCGACCUGAGAGGGUGAUCGGCCACACUGGGACUGAGACACGGCCCAGACUCCUACGGGAGGCAGCAGUAGGGAAUCUUCGGCAAUGGGGGCAACCCUGACCGAGCAACGCCGCGUGAGUGAAGAAGGUUUUCGGAUCGUAAAGCUCUGUUGUAAGUCAAGAACGGGUGUGAGAGUGGAAAGUUCACACUGUGACGGUAGCUUACCAGAAAGGGACGGCUAACUACGUGCCAGCAGCCGCGGUAAUACGUAGGUCCCGAGCGUUGUCCGGAUUUAUUGGGCGUAAAGCGAGCGCAGGCGGUUUGAUAAGUCUGAAGUUAAAGGCUGUGGCUCAACCAUAGUUCGCUUUGGAAACUGUCAAACUUGAGUGCAGAAGGGGAGAGUGGAAUUCCAUGUGUAGCGGUGAAAUGCGUAGAUAUACGGAGGUCGACGCGGC
RNAcentral lists this ribosomal RNA (494 nucleotides) under uncultured Streptococcus sp. RNAcentral's name for it is "bacterial SSU rRNA". It matches the Rfam family "Bacterial small subunit ribosomal RNA", at positions 228 to 716 of the family's 1533-position model. Lineage: Bacteria; Bacillati; Bacillota; Bacilli; Lactobacillales; Streptococcaceae. The record is from RNAcentral.